RNAcentral lists this ribosomal RNA (681 nucleotides) under Truncocolumella rubra. RNAcentral's name for it is "eukaryotic LSU rRNA". The stretch from base 229 to 383 matches the Rfam family "5.8S ribosomal RNA". The record is from RNAcentral. Lineage: Eukaryota; Fungi; Basidiomycota; Agaricomycetes; Boletales; Truncocolumellaceae.
CGUAGGUGAACCUGCGGAAGGAUCAUUAUUGAAUUCUAUGGAGGGGGGAGACUGUCGCUGGCCCUCGGGCAUGUGCACGUCUUCCUUUCUCUCAUACACACACCUGUGCACCUGUUGUAGGUCCUCGAAAGAGGAGCUAUGUUUUUCACAUCACACCCCGUCGUAUGUCUAUAGAAUGUGUUGAAAACGUCGACCUGUUUGACAGGCCGGCGGACAAUAAAAUUAUACAACUUUCAGCAACGGAUCUCUUGGCUCUCGCAUCGAUGAAGAACGCAGCGAAUUGCGAUAAGUAAUGUGAAUUGCAGAUUUUCAGUGAAUCAUCGAAUCUUUGAACGCACCUUGCGCUCCUUGGUAUUCCGAGGAGCAUGCCUGUUUGAGUGUCAUCGAAUUCUCAACCAUGUCUUGAUUUAUUUCGAGGCAUGGCUUGGAGUUGGGGGUUGCUGGCGGCGAAAUGCGGUCGGCUCUCCUGAAAUGCAUUAGCAAAGGGUGGCAAGUCUUGGACAUGCACGGCCUUCGACGUGAUAAUGAUCGUCGUGGCUGGAGUGUCGGACAUGCAUGAAUGGUCCAUUGCUUCCAAUCCCUACCUAGGCUAGCCUUGAGUCGCUUAGCUACUAGUCGGUCGUGAGGCCGACGAACGUUGGGAGGCGAGGGCUUGUCUGUUUCGAAACUGACCUCAAAUCA